This 82-nucleotide transfer RNA is filed under the name Paludibacteraceae bacterium. RNAcentral describes it as "tRNA-Leu". It matches the Rfam family "tRNA". Rfam says of the family: Transfer RNA (tRNA) molecules are approximately 80 nucleotides in length. Their secondary structure includes four short double-helical elements and three loops (D, anti-codon, and T loops). Lineage: Bacteria; Pseudomonadati; Bacteroidota; Bacteroidia; Bacteroidales; Paludibacteraceae. The record is from RNAcentral.
GGUCGGAUGGUGGAAUUGGUAGACACGGAGGUCCCAAAAGCAUCUGUCGCAAGACGUGAGGGUUCGAGUCCCUCUCUGACUA